ACAGCAGUCGCCGCGGGAAUACGUAGGGUGCGAGCGUUAAUCGGAAUUACUGGGCGUAAAGCGUGCGCAGGCGGUUGUGUAAGACAGAUGUGAAAUCCCCGGGCUCAACCUGGGACCUGCAUUUGUGACUGUAUAGCUAGAGUACGGCAGAGGGGGAUGGAAUUCCGCGUGUAGCAGUGAAAUGCGUAGAUAUGCGGAGGAACACCGAUGGCGAAGGCAAUCCCCUGGACCUGUACUGACGCUCAUGCACGAAAGCGUGGGGAGCAAACAGGAUUAGAUACCCGGUAGUCCCUGUCUCUUAUACA
Molecule: ribosomal RNA, 305 nt
Filed under: uncultured bacterium
Lineage: Bacteria
Description: partial 16S ribosomal RNA
Rfam family: Bacterial small subunit ribosomal RNA
Source: RNAcentral